This is an RNA transcript of Ornithodoros turicata, 7324 nucleotides long. RefSeq lists it as uncharacterized. The transcript has 5 exons. NCBI's taxonomy places the organism in Eukaryota, Metazoa, Arthropoda, Arachnida, Ixodida, Argasidae. The record is from RefSeq and is a predicted model, not a curated record.
GGCUCGUGAAGAAGAAGAAAAAGUUCUAACACUCCAGUCGCUGUUCAGUCAUGAGUGAACCUCAAUGGAUGUCGUUUCUUUGGCUCACAUAAUCCCGCUUCCCGUUGCACCUUCUGGAAGAAAGCCUAACUCUGACCACGACGAAGGCAACCACUCGGGAAGUUUUCGUUGAUACUACGACACACCACGGCGACUGCGACCACGGCGCCAAUUGACUACUACUACGACUACCACUACCACGACUACCACAACAACGACUACUACUACCACCACCUUGAAACCACAGGAAUUAAGCCAGACGCAAGUGUACCGAACAACUCUCAAUCGUAAUAUAACGGACCCAUACGCAUGCUGGACUACAGGACCGUCACCCUGGGAUAGACCUGGCAUGCCGUUAUGCAGUCGUCAUUUGUGUGCCAAAAUGGACUAUAUCAUAGGGUAGUAACCGAAAAUCAGGGGCACCUUGAAACCGACACCACCCGACUCGACCAAGGGGGCCGUACGUUUGACAACACUUUCACAGUAGCGUACGACUCGGAUUGCUCUAUGUCGAAAACGGUUAGAGCUCAUCUUCGACGCAUGAGACAGCACUGCGCUUAUUCACCCUCCCACACUGGGGGUGAUGGAAAGACGAGUCUCCGAAGAUGCGGACGAUUUAUUGAACGUUUUUUUUUUCUCUUUUUUCUGAAAACUGUUCUGGUAUCAGGUGACCGAAGGGACCAGAUGCUCUCAUUCGGACAACUUUGUAGCUUUGCUUUGCUUUCGAGUUUGCUAGUGCCCUCCUAAGGAGUGCCCAUCAGCAUAUAUUAUAUUGCAAUAGAUUUGAUCUAGGAAAAAAGUGAUAUACAUAUUUCUUUAAAAAUAUGUUAGCUGCGGCACCCCGUAUUCAGUGUGUAUCAGAAGCCUCUGUGGCGCAAGUUCCAAACGAUAGUUUCUAAUGGUGUAUUCUACAGAAGCGCCGUGUCAAAUGGCGUAUUUCAUAAAACGCAACGUCUCAGGGGUGUGCUCCACAGCGGUGUUUGUCAGCUUUCUGCCUGAAAAAAGGUAUUCAUUUGCAGACACUCUAUGAAGGGCGUAGAAAUUUUUCUGUGCUCUUCGUGUGAGAGCCACGCCGCCCUUGCGUGUCGGUACAUCUCGGGCAAUUAUCCCGGAUAGGCUUGACUACUUAAUGGAAGAAAUGAGUGGCUCGAUGAAAGAGGUUAGCUUAUGGGUCACGCCGACGGGCCUGCAGACAGUUGGCUACGAAGGACUGUGCUCGCUGUCGCUGCGCGCGCCCUCGUAGCCCCAUGUGCGAAGAGCACCGCAGAUAACACGGGAGUACCUGCGAAAUUGAAGCAAUACGCUGCAAAUUCGAGGGAAAACAAGAUGUGCGCGUGCUGGUGCAUCACGCUGUGCACUUAAUGCGCUGCGCAGUCAUAAUGUUGAUAAUCUGCUAACAACGAGCGAGCUUGAAGUUGUGCAGGGGUUCCACUCAGCAGUUGGCAGUAAUGUUUUUGCUUUUAAUGUAUGGUAAAGGUAGCGCCUCAACGUACACGAAGAAAAUGUCACUCUACGAUUCUCCUGUUUUGCACGUUACAAGCAGGGUGCGAAAUAUUCGCUACAGUAUUUUGAUCUACGUGGUUGGCCCGGAUUUCAUUGUACACUCCGUCCCACGCUGCUUGUAGUGAAUGAAUGGAAGUUGUGUGCGCACGUACACGUCCUUGCAAUUCUUUUCGGUGAAUAAGUUUCGCACAUAGUGGCGGUGACCCGCUGAGAUUUAAUACAAUAUAUCAAUUUAAGUGGAAAAGUAAAAUAUCGUGGUAUGUGCUCCGUACGUCACGUAAUUCCUUGUCGUUCCCGCUGAGAUUAGCUUCUAGCUGCAGCAUGUUCGGAAACAUAGCGAUACGUGCUAUUACGUUCAGAGUGUUUGAAAUUGCCGAGAACCUAAUACUAAAAGGGUGUGUGACACCAACAACAUACACCAACAACUUUAUUUUUAUGCUGAGCAAUGGAGAGUUUCACUAGGCAUUCAAAGAUGUUGUUAUGCGUUUGUAUUCGUAAUGUGACGUUGCAAACAUCAUGCAAAAAUCAUCAAACACCGCAAGUAAGCGAAAAUGCGGGACACUUCGAGGCUCGUGAUGCCGCGAUAGGCCAUCCACCAGCCCAGUUGCUUUCGCACUGUCGCACACAAUCUGGAUCGGUCAGCAAUCCAGGUCCGCGCAAUCCCGCUGGGCGCGCCGUGCCGUCCGCACUUCACACUCGUGAUCUUGGUGUUUCGUUUGCAGCCGUCUGGUGGAAGCUUUGCAUAAUACCCCCUGAAGUUUCAAAUUAAAAGAAAACACUGGCCUAAGAUGUCUACUUGAAAUAAAUUUACAUUAAUACAAAUGCGAUUUUGUCUGUUUCGGCGUUUGUCUGUUUUCUUACCCAGGCAGAAAUCAGGACUGGUUCCCGAAUGGUCCCCAAGUGGUUCCAUUUGCAGUUGAAUGGUCCCAGAUGGGUCCCCAAGUGGUAUUAAUGAUCCCACUCUGGCUUUAAGCGGGUUCCACUCUGGUCCCAGAUGGGUCCCCAAGUGGCGUUAGUGGUCCCAUUCUGGCUUUAACCGGGUUCCAUUCUGGACCCAGAUGGGUCCCAAAGUGGUGCAGUGUUCCCACUCUGGCUUUAAGCGGGUUCCAUUCUGGGCCCAGAUGGGUGCCAAAGUGAUGUGUGGUUCCCACUCUGGCUUUAGGUGGGUUCCAAAGUGGUGUGUGGUUCCCACUCUGGCUUUGAGCGGGUUCGAUUUUGGGCUCAGAUGGUUCCAGCACUUCCAGCUGGAGCCUCACAGGUACCAUUUUGUUCCCAGAAUGGUCACUUGAGACUCCAAGUUGGGCAGCUUCCCAGCUUUCCCCUUUGAGAUUUCAUCUUGUCCACACUUGUCAUAUAUCCUUCUGGUUUUGUUUGAUCUAUUACUCUGAUCUAUUUUAGCACAUGCAUGAUCUCUUUUUAUUGCUGUUUAUCCAUGUGCGUGCGUCUGCGAUAAAAUAUAUGCUGUAUCCCUGUAACUCCAAUUCGAGCACAUAUUCCCAUCUGAAGGUGCAUAUCAUAACAUAUUAAGUACCAGAGAAAGGUACAAAAUACAUCUCAACAACAACAAAAAUUAAGCUAAAUAACUAGAAGAAAGACAACGAAACAAAAAAGAAAGGGUAACUGCAGAGGCUGAUGCAAUGUGAAGACGCUACGGCGGCUACAAAUUCAAACUUCAAACGGCGAGAGCCGAGAGGGAGAGGAAGGGCGAAAGAGGCGAGAGUGGCAGGUGGCAUGGCGGCAUGCAUGGCAGCAUGGAGGUAAGAAACUAAGGAGAUGCCCUAAGCGCCUCUCCCAAUGCAAGCGAGCGUGCUGUGACCCGCGCAUGGCAUUGUGGUUAGUUGCCCACACACGCGACCCAUAAACGUCACGGCAAGACGUCAUAAAACAUGGCGUCCUCCAUGUCCGCGGCGUAUCUUACCUGAAUACAGAGACGAGCUGCGGCCGAAUAACUUGUUUCCGCUUUCAUAACAUCUUAGAAGUUAUCACACCCGUUGAAACACAAGAUAGAUCAUCUCAGUGUGGAAGCAAUGGAUCACAAAUCGCUAGAAGGCGUACGUACGUCAUCGUGACAUUGCCUGGCUUCUCUUCUGUUUUGCUCAACUUUUGUUGUGAUUUAUCACGCGGCAAAUGUUGAAACAACCCAUAACCUUCAAAGUAUUGUGCGAAUGGACUCCUUGAAGGUAAGACGUUUGCUGAAGAUGAGGUUUGCUAAACUUCCAAUCCUCCGAGCAGACCGCCAUAACGCCGAAACAUGUGGGGAUCACGUGACCGGGCAACUAGAUGGGCGUGGUAUUGCCAGGAGAGACCGCUAGAGGGGUCCCACGGCCCUCCGAUCUUAUAGCCCUCUCCUUAGUUUCUUACCUCCAUGCAUGGCAGUUAGAGCUUGAACGCGUCGCAGCAAGUUGGUUUGGUCUUCAGUUGCCGUCGCAAGGAUGGUGUAUCUCCUGUGCAGUAUUUACGUGUGUUUUAGUGGGCUUUGUAAGACAAUGCGAUGACAAUAGUUCCUGUGCAACACAUUGUCCAUUUCCCGGAAGAGUUUUGACGCCAAGAAGACCUGAACGGCGAGGGGCAAAACGCACUGUGAAGCGCCAAUCGCACUGCACGUCGCGAAUGUUUGCAGGUAUGAGUGAUGACCGUGAUGUUUUGAUUACUAUUAAAUAGAUGUUUCAUUUUAGAAACUUAGGAGGAACUUGAAGAGAAACAGGAUAAGAAGAUUCCGAACGUACGGUGAAGAGGAAAGGGGUGUCGUGACCUGCAUGGAAAACAGGAGUGUCAUGUGUCAUCUUCUCUAGGAAAAUACAAGAUGUGAGGUGGCCAACGAACGAAAGCUCCCUGUGGUCCGUGAGUGCAUCGCACAAUCAGGCAUAUGCUUUGUCAAGACACAGUGAGUGAUCAGACUUAUACUACGUAGUAUGAACAAGUAGAGAUGUAUUGAUUAUUUCUUUCUGCUCAGUGUAUGCUUUUAGCAGAAUAAACGGUAUUUACUUGAGCAAUAUGUGCAUUUCUACGCAUUAUUUUCAGUCAUGCAUUCAGUGGCCCCAGCUGCUAUGUGGCCGGACCCCGGACCACUUAGCAGAGGGGGCCACUGGAUCAAUUCCACUGGUUCCAGUUCAAGUGGGACCAUCGUGAAGCUGGUUCCACUUUCAACUGGUCCCAGUCACUAAGUGGGACACACUCAAAGUGGGACCUGUCCAAUAAACCACUUUGAAGUGGUCCCACUCCAGAGUGGUCCCAUUCUGAAGUGGUUUAACGAACUGGUCCCCCAUGGGACCACUUGGCAAGUGGGACCAGAGUGGGACCAGUUCGUUAAACCAUUUUGAAAUGGUCCCAUUCCAGAUUUCUGCCUGGGUAGUGCGGGCGGCUGUCAUCGCAACAAUCUUGCCAACCCUGAAGCGGCACUGCGAGUAGCGAGAAGGCGAGGGUGAAAGGAAGCCACUGCACUUGCGCCAACCCUCCUUGAAUCUUGGAGUGUGUAAUCAUGUUCCCGAGUGGGGGACAAGUGUAUGCGUUGUUGAUCUCUGUCGCCGAGACUCACUUUGUCCACACCUGGGGAAGAUCACAAUCGCUGCCUAAUCAUGAUUGCGCGCGAUGUGGAUCCUGCAUCAGUACGUUUUGGGUAUUAGUCGACGAGGUGCAAGGUUCUGCCUUUCACAGGAAGACACGUGAGCAUCUCGCAGCCCCAUAAAAAUCGUUCCGCGCGCUGGGAGCAUCAGCGCAUAGACGUAAACAACGUCACCGAGUGCCAUUUCCGCGACCAAGCGCUCCCAUGGGGUGGAUAGGCCGGUAAGCACACCGGUCCUUCUAGUUCACCAUAGUUGCCCGCCAUCCGCGUAGCGUCGUCGUCUUCGCACCGACUUCUAAAUCUCUUGCGUGCGCUUCUGUAAACCUGAUUUUCUCACUGACCUGUGCCUCGACGACAUUUCUAGUACGAUCCCACAGUUUGGUGACACAACCUUCGAAUGGCCGCACUGUCACCGUCGUAGCCUUUGCUAAAUUGUGUCCACUAGCCUAAAUCAUUUUCUCACUGCCUUCGAAAGAGGACAUUUCGGGACACAUUUCUCGGGAGAACAAGCUUUGGAACUUCCUGUCGACGACUUCAUCGGUGUUCCUUUGUGUCCUUCUACGAUAUACGCUUAUGUGACUUUUUGUGUUCCUAUGUUUGCCGUACUACACCACAAACUUUACGUUAGGUUGAAAAUACGAGACACGCUGCUCGUUCAAAACUGUGAUAGGAUAGUCUCUCAAAAUUUGUUCUUGGGAAGCCAACCGAAGCCGUGUUGUCCGAGCUUCGAAAGCAGAUAUUAAGUUAGAAAAAUUGGAGGAAAAUGCACGUGCUCUAUCUCUGCACAUACAGGAACCGCUUAAGAAAUUUACUUAUAAAUAAGUUCUGCAAUAGUGCAAAGAAAACACGUGCAAGUUGCACUUGAGCUGUCUGGCUUUGACCGAAUAGCGUCCCUAUACCCUGCUGCGUCCCUAUAUAUAAGGCAUAGAUUGAGAUGUUACCCGUCAGAAAGAACUCGUUACAAGCUAAGUUACCGUGUGCAAAAUGAAACUAAGUUAAUGACGAAGUUGUUCAGCAUGAAAUGUAAUUCGCAGUUACUGAGUUACUUUAAAAAAUAAUGAAUUACUUGCAAGUUACACCGGACACAAAAUAACAUUGCGCAGGUGCAGCGCGCGUGGCAAGUUGAGUUAGACCUUGAGUUGCCUGCGGAGGAGUGCAACACGCUUAGAUCGUUUUCGUUUAUGUCCAACAAUAGACAUCUCCCUAUUUGUAAACAAAUGACGUCGAAGUCUUCGACAGCGCCAAAGUUCAGUAGAAUUCAACCACACUCGAAGCUAAAGGUGAACAAGGUCGCGCCCGACGGCCACGGUCUUCAGGGGACUACGACAUGGUCCCUUGAAGGGACGCGACCCUUGGGCGCACUUAUCUUUCAAUGUGACACAGCGAACAAGUGUCCGUUCGUGGAACCCAGCCCUCCUUCAGAUUUGUUUCGGUUUCAUUCUGUCUACAAACGUCAUGAUGGCGUUUCUCUUAUAGAGGUCUAUCUGAACGCUUUGCAUCUUACCCCAGGUAGGCGCACAAUGGUUCAGCUUGAUUUCAAUGGCAGCGCUUCCUACUUCCUGAAUAAAAAAAUGUCAUUGAUUGAAUAACACGUUUUAUGGCAAAAAACACCAUAAAGGAACCAGAGAAAAAGCAAGAAAAUAUGUGGACGUGAGUGAAAAGCGAAUUAAAGGAACUUAGCUUAAGUUAACUCGCUUUUCACUCACGUCCACAUAUUUUCUUGCCUUUUCUCUGGUUCUUUUAUGGCGCUUUUUUUUUGGCAAAGUUGUUGGUUUUGGCAAAAAGUUUGGUUGACUUUGGCAAAGUUACCUGAAAAAGGAACGAGUUACUUGUAACAGUUUACCUCGAACUCUGCUAUAAGGCGAAGAUUGUUCUGAUUGCUUCAGAUAAUGGGCAUAUCUCCCUUCUAUUCAGACCAUUUGUCCUUCCAGAAUUACAGGCACUAAAAUGGGAAGUGGGUGUCUGUGAAUAAUUGAUAAGUAGCGAGCUCGUAGCUGUAGUAUGGCAAGACGAGGGAUUUUCCGGGGUUUCGUUAACAUGAACGGGUGUCGGUUUGCGAAGAGUCCGGAUGUAAAAUGUAGAUGCGGAAUUGUUCCGACUCUGAAGGAUUAGAUACUGUACUGUACUUUACAGCUACUAGUUCGAAGACCUUUUUGAGGGAAUGAGUGAGUUUUUACAAAUUGCGAGGAAGCAUUACAAUUUGCUGACAGCAUAUUUCUU